GCCAGGCACGGUGGCGCAUGCCUGUAAUCCCAGCAGCUCAGGAGGCUGAGACAGGAGGAUUGUGAGUUCAAAGCCAACCUCAGCAACUUAAUGAGGCCCUAAGCAACUCAGUGAGACCCUGUCUCUA
This 127-nucleotide small RNA is filed under the name Marmota monax (woodchuck). Lineage: Eukaryota; Metazoa; Chordata; Mammalia; Rodentia; Sciuridae. The record is from RNAcentral.